UGUCCCUGAGCACACAUACCCUCUACGACAAACACUCCGCCUCCUCAUACACAUGAUUCAACAGAUGUUUGCUCAGUGAGUUUCCUGAAUCAGGCUCCAUUAUUCACCACCACUGCUACUACUACUACGUCUCCCUCCAGAGUGACACCAGGAACCCAGGAUGGCUUUUUACAAAGUGUGUCUCGUGUAUUUAACUGUGUUGCUGAUUCUCCCUGAACAAGGCCGUCCUGAGUGUUACAGCCCUUGGCCCAGAAGUGCAGGAUUUAUCGGUCCCCCCUGCUGUUCGAUCGUCUCAACGGCCUUCAUUAAAGACGCUUUUGUUUCCUGCUUUGAACAGAAAGAAAGCACUACUUCUUCUCACUGUAGACUACACGCAUUCAUUUUUACUUCCGUGAACAGAGCACACUACUGUGUGGAUCCAGAAGCCAAGUGGCUCAGCAUAAGAUUACAAAAGUUACAAAACAGGGGGAUAUGUUGCCACCUUCUACAGUCACAGUGACGAUGUUGCAUCACGACGUUGACUCAUAAAGCCUCGCAUUUACCGAAUUUUAUUUUUUUAAAUCUUAAUUUACAACUUGUAAAUGUGACAAAAAUGCCCAUUGUUUUUCACGUCAAGAUAUUAACUAUAAAUAUGACUUUGCAGCAGUUUUAACAUGGCCACUACAAUAAGGUCUUUUUUACCGUAUCGUGCCUUUAAGGACAAGUCUGGUGGUUUUUCUAUAUUUUUCCUGAUGAGUGAUUGCCAUGAAAAGACCAACAGUGAGUGAUCCUACUAACAAGUAUUUCUUGUGUAGCCAACCCUGAUAAAGUAUUGUACUUUUUCCAAGUUCUUUUUUUUAAAGUUGUAGACUCUGUUUCAGAGGACAGUUUAAUUGUAUAAUCCUUAAAGUUGUAGUGAAAUUGCAGUUAGGACAUCUUUAGCUUCUAUCGUGUGGCAUGGUACAAUAGAUUUAAAUCUGUUGUGUGGUUUAUAUAGGAUGGUCUGGUUAAAUACUCACUCUGUAUCACAUUUGAUUUGAUACUUUCUUACUCACAGCAAAAUAAAUUAAAGAGAUUCUGAUAUAAAUUGUAUUUUAUUUUUUUUUUAUGGAUUUCUUAUUUCACUUAUGUCUUCAAUGAAGACAUUAAAGACCACU
Molecule: long non-coding RNA, 1136 nt
Organism: Anarrhichthys ocellatus (wolf-eel)
Lineage: Eukaryota; Metazoa; Chordata; Actinopteri; Perciformes; Anarhichadidae
Exons: 4
Source: RefSeq, a predicted model, not a curated record